CAGCCGCCGCGGUAAUACGAAGGGUGCAAGCGUUAAUCGGAAUUACUGGGCGUAAAGCGUGCGUAGGCGGUGAGUUAAGUCUGCUGUGAAAUCCCCGGGCUCAACCUGGGAAUGGCAGUGGAUACUGGCUCGCUAGAGUGUGUCAGAGGAUGGUGGAAUUCCCGGUGUAGCGGUGAAAUGCGUAGAGAUCGGGAGGAACAUCAGUGGCGAAGGCGGCCAUCUGGGACAACACUGACGCUGAGGCACGAAAGCGUGGGGAGCAAACAGGAUUAGAUACCCGCGUAGUCCCUGUCUCUUAUAU
RNAcentral lists this ribosomal RNA (301 nucleotides) under uncultured bacterium. RNAcentral describes it as "partial 16S ribosomal RNA". It matches the Rfam family "Bacterial small subunit ribosomal RNA", at positions 509 to 809 of the family's 1533-position model. The record is from RNAcentral.